AGUGAACGCUGGCGGUAGGCCUAACACAUGCAAGUCGAACGGCAGCACAGUAAGAGCUUGCUCUUACGGGUGGCGAGUGGCGGACGGGUGAGGAAUACAUCGGAAUCUACUUUUUCGGGGGGGAUAACGUAGGGAAACUUACGCUAAUACCGCAUACGACCUACGGGUGAAAGCAGGGGAUCUUCGGACCUUGCGCGAUUGAAUGAGCCGAUGUCGGAGUAGCUAGUUGGCGGGGUAAAGGCCCACCAAGUCGACGAUUCGUAGCUGGUCUGAGAGGAUGAUAAGCCACACUGGAACGGAGACACGGUCCAGACUCCUACGGGAGGCAGCAGUGGGGAAUAUUGGACAAUGGGCGCAAGCCUGAUCCAGCCAUACCGAGCGUGUGAAGAAGGCCUUCGGGUUGUAAAGCCCUUUUGUUGGGAAAGAAAAGCAGCAGGUUAAGACCACGCUGUUCUGACGGUAACCAAAGAAUAAGCACCGGCUAACUUCGUG
RNAcentral lists this ribosomal RNA (492 nucleotides) under uncultured bacterium. RNAcentral's name for it is "partial 16S ribosomal RNA". It matches the Rfam family "Bacterial small subunit ribosomal RNA", at positions 29 to 507 of the family's 1533-position model. The record is from RNAcentral.